Molecule: ribosomal RNA, 747 nt
Filed under: Triticum aestivum (bread wheat)
Lineage: Eukaryota; Viridiplantae; Streptophyta; Magnoliopsida; Poales; Poaceae
Description: partial small subunit ribosomal RNA
Source: RNAcentral
AUGGCAGCGGGUGGAGCUAUUACAAACAAGACACUUGAUGAAGCUUUUCUGCUGAUUGAGAGCAUAGCUUUCCACCAACUUCAGUGGUACAAUAAGAAGCCCACGUCUGAUUCAUUGGUUUGCUUGCAACAAAUCACUACACCUCAACCACCAAUUCUUACACAAAAGCAUGAGCCUCUAUCUCAGUGUGACAAGAUUGAGCUUGCAUGGAUUAUCUUUGACAAUGAUGACACCAUUUUAGUUGACACACACGCUACAGAUCAUAUGGAUACUAGUGUUGGAGAUUCGGUUUUGCAUUGUGAUGAUUCUUCCAUGGAUGAGCCAGAGCUGCAGUUAGUUGUUUUUGAUAUUGAGGAGUCACCUUUAGUUGAUAUUGAUCAUGUGCUGCUAGAGCCAGAUAUGGAGAAGUUCACCUUUGAUGAUGUUAGCCGCAUUGCUUCCUCAACACUUGAGCCUGAGAUGGAGAGCUUCAUGGUUGAGUAUGGUGAGGUCGAUUCAGAUGUCAAGGAGCCAAGCUCUACUAUUUCACUUGUUGACACGAGUCCGGUUGAAAUUUCUACUACCACACCUCACUUGGUAUCUUCAAUUGAGAUAGUCCUGAAGCUUCUUCCUAACUAUCUUAGGCUGACCAAGUUCGAGAUGACAUCCCAUGGGAUCCUGGUGGAUUCACGGCAUGGUGAUGAGGAGAAGCAAAGAGCACACAUGAGGAAGAGUGAAGCUGGAGCAGGCAUGAGGAUAGAGAAGUAA